GCCAGCAGCCAUGUCACCCUGCAACUCACAACUGGCAAACCACUUAAGCUAAGCAGGUGCGAGCCUGGCCAGUACCUAGAUGGAAGACCUCCUGGGAAUCCUAAGGUUGGUGCUGGAA
This 118-nucleotide ribosomal RNA is filed under the name Lepisosteus oculatus (spotted gar). Lineage: Eukaryota; Metazoa; Chordata; Actinopteri; Semionotiformes; Lepisosteidae. The record is from RNAcentral.